GGACUGUAGCUCAGCGGCAGAGCGCCGGCUUCGCACGUGUGAGGCACUGGGUUCGAUCCUCAGCACCA
RNAcentral lists this transfer RNA (68 nucleotides) under Marmota monax (woodchuck). RNAcentral's name for it is "tRNA.Ala". The record is from RNAcentral. Lineage: Eukaryota; Metazoa; Chordata; Mammalia; Rodentia; Sciuridae.